UGGCGGACGGGUGAGUAACGCGUAAAGAACUUGCCAUUUAGACUGGGAUAACAGAGGGAAACUUCUGAUAAUACUGGAUAAGUUAGUAUAUCGCAUGAUAUGCAAAUGAAAGCUACGGCACUAAAGGAGAGCUUUGCGUCCUAUUAGCUAGUUGGUAAGGUAAGAGCUUACCAAGGCGAUGAUAGGUAGCCGGCCUGAGAGGGUGGACGGCCACAAGGGGACUGAGAUACGGCCCUUACUCCUACGGGAGGCAGCAGCC
Molecule: ribosomal RNA, 259 nt
Filed under: uncultured Leptotrichia sp.
Lineage: Bacteria; Fusobacteriati; Fusobacteriota; Fusobacteriia; Fusobacteriales; Leptotrichiaceae
Description: partial 16S ribosomal RNA
Rfam family: Bacterial small subunit ribosomal RNA
Source: RNAcentral